UGUGGUUUGGGUUUUAGUGAUUGGGUUUGGGUUUGGAGGAUGGGCUAGCAUGACCAACUUUAUAAGGCAAAUUGACACAUUUGGGCUUUUUGCCAAGUGCUACCAGUGCAAACCCCCAACGCCGCCACUUGCCACCGCUGCACCUGCCUCUCAUGCCCACCAUCAGAGCCGAGCCUUCUCACUCAACUCUACACAAUAUUAGAGCUCAGCUAGCUACAGUCACAUUCCCUUUCAUUACUUGUAUUAUACAUGGGUGAGACCCGCACACCCCCCCCCCCCCCCCCCCCUCCCCCCCCCUCCCCCUGCCUCUCAUGCCCACCAUCAGAGCCGAGCCUUCUCACUCAACUCUACACAAUAUUAGAGCUCAGCUAGCUACAGUCACAUUCCCUUUCAUUACUUGUAUUAUACAUGGGUGAGAGAGAGUGCUAAAUAGUAAAUACUCCUCCCCUUAAUUUUAUGUCUGCUGGGCCUGGGUGGG
This 478-nucleotide long non-coding RNA is filed under the name Lotus japonicus. RNAcentral's name for it is "long non-coding RNA (LJAP_LNC000886)". Lineage: Eukaryota; Viridiplantae; Streptophyta; Magnoliopsida; Fabales; Fabaceae. The record is from RNAcentral.